GAGGAUGUAGCUCAGUUUGUAGAGUUUGUUUACAGUGCACAAAGCCCUGGGUUCAAAUCCCAGCACUCA
RNAcentral lists this transfer RNA (69 nucleotides) under Neotoma lepida (desert woodrat). It matches the Rfam family "tRNA". Rfam says of the family: Transfer RNA (tRNA) molecules are approximately 80 nucleotides in length. Lineage: Eukaryota; Metazoa; Chordata; Mammalia; Rodentia; Cricetidae. The record is from Rfam by way of RNAcentral.